Molecule: ribosomal RNA, 402 nt
Filed under: uncultured Acetobacteraceae bacterium
Lineage: Bacteria; Pseudomonadati; Pseudomonadota; Alphaproteobacteria; Acetobacterales; Acetobacteraceae
Description: bacterial SSU rRNA
Rfam family: Bacterial small subunit ribosomal RNA
Source: RNAcentral
UGGGGAAUAUUGGACAAUGGGCGCAAGCCUGAUCCAGCAAUGCCGCGUGGAUGAAGAAGGUUUUCGGAUUGUAAAGUCCUUUCGGCGGGGACGAUGAUGACGGUACCCGCAGAAGAAGCCCCGGCUAACUUCGUGCCAGCAGCCGCGGUAAUACGAAGGGGGCUAGCGUUGCUCGGAAUGACUGGGCGUAAAGGGCGCGUAGGCGGAUCGGACAGUCAGACGUGAAAUUCCCGGGCUCAACCUGGGGGCUGCGUUUGAGACGUUUGGUCUAGAGUUUGGAAGAGGGUCGUGGAAUUCCCAGUGUAGAGGUGAAAUUCGUAGAUAUUGGGAAGAACACCGGUGGCGAAGGCGGCGACCUGGUCCUUGACUGACGCUGAGGCGCGAAAGCGUGGGGAGCAAACA